AGGGAUCGGCUGGUGGACAGUACGAAACAACCGGACUUGUGGAAGAUGUCGUCCAAGAGACACCGGUGACGAUGUACAUAGCAAGCAAUGAACUCAUGAAGUCAAAUCCUGCUAUGUAUGUGCUGAGGGAGAGAAUAAGAAAGAGUCUUCAAUUUUCCCUUUAUUUCGCUUUUAGCUCUAGUUUUCUUGCAAUUAUGGCAUAACUGCGCAGCAUCACAACUUCGAAGACUUGAAUGAAAAUGGAUUAUAAUCUGCAGGUCAUCCACAGAAGUGUACGGGCAGGACAAAAGCGUCUUGGGCAGCUAGCCAAGUGGAAAACAGCCGAGGAGGUUGCUACACUAGUUCGAUCACUUCCCGUUGAAGAGCAACCAAAGCAAAUUAUUGUGACAAGAAAGUGUAUGUUGGAAGUCCAUGUGUCAUUCCAAGCUUGCUUGAAGAUUGACAAGUUUUCUCUCAAGGCUACGGAACCGCAGAUGGUUCUUUAUAACAUAUACGAUGACUGGUUGAAAAGUAUCUCGUCCUACACUGCAUUCUCUCAUCUUGUGCUUAUACCACGAGCAUCACAUGUCAAUAAUGAGAAGGCCAAGAUGUUGCUGAAGCCCGACAAGGCAAUGGUUACGGAACCGCAUCAUAUCUGGGCCAUCAAUCUUUGACUGAUGAGUAGUGUCUGAAGGUGGAAUGUGCGCUCAGGGUCUCACUCUUUCAGAUUAUGGAAAGAAAAACAAUGUUAAUACUUCUGCUCCACCGUCACAGCAGAGGCAACAGAUAGCCGAGAUUGAGAAACAGUUUAUUUCAUGGCAAAGAAGAUUGGUUAUAUGAACUUAUAUCAGAGAAGUGCACCUACGUAGAAUCUAGGGACACAGGAUGCAGGUUUCCUGUAUGGGCAGGAUAAUCACCAAGUGGAGAUGAGAUGCAUAUCCAUUCCGCCACAGCAUGGUGAGUUGGCCGGCAAAUCUCCCAGAUCAUGAGUUCCUUGCUGACUUGGAGCCGUUGGGACCCAGACGAAUGAAGCUCCUCAGCUACCACCUCAGGAUUUGACAUCAGAUGCUAAAAUUUUGGAGAGAAGAACAAGCAGUGGGAUGGUGACAAGUGCAUCAUUUUGACCUGUCGGUGAACAUCUUCAGUCAGUGGUUAUGCUUGCGAGAACAAAAAACCUAUCGUGGUCAGUGGUCAUUGCUUGUCAAACUAAAUCGUUAUCGUCAAGCAGAUGUUUUGCUUGGUGUUGUCAUCUUUGUCUCGUUGUUGCUUUGUGAUUUGAGCUGCUUUGUUGAAGCAUCUGGUUGCUCUUGUUCUUAAGAUUGGACUAGUUGCAGAUUUAUGUUGCUAGAUUGGAUUACUUGCAGAUUUCUGAGAGCAAAUCAAUUGUUCUGGGCCUGGGGAUGGUGAUGCCUUGAAGAGUGUGGUCAAAACGAGCCAGGAGAUCACCAUCCCCACGCCCUAUCAUUUGAUCAUCAAUAGAACACUGCAGCAUCAACAUAACUUUUAACCAUCUUGGCACUGACGAUGAUGCCUCACACCUAGAGAUAGACGCAAGGAAAUAAGACUGCUGUUGGAUCAUAUCAAUAUGAGCCUCCUUUCUGAUCUUAUGCACAAUCCUUCACAGUACAGGACUGCCUUUGCUGUUCUGAGCCUUGUUGCGUGCGUGCGUGUUUCUUCUUCUUUUUGACUACAGUUGUUUUGUCAGUAACUUGGAUUAUGAGGCAAUGGAUGGUUUCAACUCACUAUAUCUUGCGGAUACUUUGAGUGCCUCAAAGCACUGGUUUGUCGAUAUAUUACUGUUAGACAUUCAAAUGUACUAGAUUAAGUAAGGGAAAGAAAGGCAACUUACCAAGCAAAGCGUUGUACGAAAAUGCAGCAGCAGUUGUGGGCAUGUCAAACAAAAUGUAAUUUUGUUUUCAUGUUGUAUCGCUUGUAUUGGUAAACAUGCACACAAACUUGAUGAUUUUGUAUUAUCCUGUAACUUUCUUCAGAUUUUCUUUUUGUUAAAGAACACACUUUUAAUUUUCUAGCAUAGUUGUACUUCACGGAUCAGGUUCAGUCUUGUGACCUUCACAGUUAGUACUAGCUCACGUACCUCAUCAUAGUGGACUGCUCACUUAAACUCUUGGUUAUUACUUAUGUGCACGGUAUCUGAUUAGAUCAUGGCACAUUGUUAUCAUCACAACUAACUCAUCUCCGAGUUGUUUACAUAAAGACCUCAAUCAAUGGCAGUCUCGACUCUACACUGUGGUCUCUGGUAUCGGCUAGCUUCACUGAAUAUUUUUUUUACUGAAGAACAUCCAAGGUACAUGCACAAACCAAACUCUGCUGGCUUCACUGGAUAUUUUUACUCCUGUCAGUUUGCAGUAGAGAGAGAUGCAUAGAUGGUUUUCCUCAGUGUGGUGCUUAUGUGCUUGUCUUGCUGUUUGGUUGUGUAUGGCUCACAAGACCAAAAGCUCUGCAUCAUCCUCUACAAGCAGAACAGAACCACCAUGGUUGUGUGCCGCUGGCCGCCGAGUACCAAUUCUACUACGAUGAUUUCCACCGAGGGUGUGGGUGUCGUCUACGUUAGCUCAGGUGUUGGCUUGUUUUUUUGAUCAAGAUCAACUCUUGGAAGCUCUAGAAGGUUGACGAGUAUGGGUUCUACUUUAGUGUCCUACCCUACACGAGCUUCUGUACUCUAGGCAUUUCAACAAGUGACUACAUACGGAGCAAAAUGAGUGAAUCUACACUCUAAAACAUGUCUACAUACAUCCGUAUGUAAUAGUCAUUUAAAAUGUCUAGAAAGACAAAUAUUUAGGAACGGAGGGAGUAGUUGGUUCUGAUUCCUGAACAAUUAUCCAUACAAUGGUGUAUGCUUGUGAAAACUGAAUAUGUGGCAUGUGAAAGAGGAAUGCAAUUUUGUUUUCAUAUUUUAACUCCGAAGGACCAUGACUUGCAUCAGUUGUUCUGGUAAACGUGAACAAAACUUGAUGAUCUUGUAAUAUCA
Triticum dicoccoides is the source of this 2968-nucleotide long non-coding RNA. RefSeq lists it as uncharacterized. The transcript is spliced from 7 exons. NCBI's taxonomy places the organism in Eukaryota, Viridiplantae, Streptophyta, Magnoliopsida, Poales, Poaceae. The record is from RefSeq and is a predicted model, not a curated record.